RNAcentral lists this ribosomal RNA (462 nucleotides) under uncultured bacterium. RNAcentral describes it as "partial 16S ribosomal RNA". It matches the Rfam family "Bacterial small subunit ribosomal RNA", at positions 29 to 507 of the family's 1533-position model. The record is from RNAcentral.
AUGAACGCUGACAGAAUGCUUAACCCAUGCAAGUCGCUGGGGAAGUGGUGCUUGCACCAUGGCAACCAUGGCGGACGGGUGAGUAACGCGUAAGGGACUUACCUGCAGGACUGGGAUAACAGGGGGAAACUCCUGACAAGACCGGAUAAUGUCAUGGAGCUGCAUGGCUUUAUGAUGAAAGGAGACGCCUGCGGAGAGCCUUGCGUCCUAUUAGCUAGUUGGUGAGGUAAUGGCUCACCAAGGCGAAGAUAGGUAGCCGGCCUGAGAGGGUGGACGGCCACAAGGGGACUGAGAUACGGCCCUUACUCCUACGGGAGGCAGCAGUGGGGAAUAUUGGACAAUGGGGGCAACCCUGAUCCAGCAAUUCUGUGUGCACGAAGAAGGUUUUCGGAGUGUAAAGUGCUUUCAGCAGGGAAGAAGUAAAUGACGGUACCUGCAGAAGAAGCGACGGCUAAAUACGUG